AGAGAUUGGAGAGAAUAAAAAGUUAAGAGUAAGAAGAGUGACACAAGGAGAGUGAAGAAGAGCAGACAGAGGAGCGGGGGAAGAACGGCAGUGGUAGAACAUCAACAGACGAAAAAGCCUCUCUGAUUGGCCGUGUUGGUAUGCCCUCUGUCACCACAUUCUUCAAGAAGGUAGAGCCUUCCCAAGAAGAAUAUGGUUUAGCUGUGCAGGAGGGUGUCUUUGCAUACCGCACUAUGCGAUGCAAUCAUAGUUACAGAUCUAUGGACUGCACAGCACAACUCUCACUGAAGCUUUAUGAGCCAAAGUUUACAUGUGCUAGGACAAAAUGUGACGCCAUAGUGAGUAAAAUAUGAUGGCAGCACAUCUGUGGAAACAAAACUGCUUGAUUUUGUUGAAUUGAAAGGAGAAACAGCAGAGGAAAUUGCAGCUGAGAUCCUGGUGGUCAUCUAAAAAUGUAACCUGGAAAACAUUCUCUGCCGACAACAUAAAUACCAACUUUGGAGGACUGAAUAGGCUGGGGAGGGUUAAUGUCCAUACCAAAGUUAAAAAGGCUCUGCAGCGGGAGGUGAUUGACUUAGGUUGUCCUGCCCACAUCAUUCAUAACACGGCCAGAACAGCUUUGGAUAUGAUUCCCCUUGAUGUUGAUUACCUGCUCACAAAGAUAUUUUCACCGUCAGAGUAGAAAGACUGAAGAGCUUUUGUGAGUUUGUUGGCCAGGAGUACCAUAACAUUUUAGGACACUGCAAUGUUCGCUGGCUGUCCAUGCUCCCUGCUCUAGAAAAGGUGCUGAAAAUGUAUGUGCCAUUUGAAAUCCUUUUUUCUUUCUGAAGACAAAUGCCCUGUUGUCCUGCGAACAAUGUUCGAAGAUCCACUGGCUGGCCUUUGUCCAUGGAAACCUGACCAUAUUCAGUGACAUGAUCAAGAUGCUUGAAGGCCAGGACCGCUGUGCUGUGGAGUCAACUGCAAUUCUGAGAAACGUUGAGGCAAAAUUGACUGCAAGACAUGAUGACAACUUCAUUCCAGUUUUGGUCAGAGGACUUCUGAGAGAGCUAGAGGAAAAUGGAGCCAUGUCUAAAGAGAGCUUUCUCGAAACAUCCCAAUCAUUCUUCACUACGGCUGUGAACUACUUGCAAGCAUUGGGGAAAGCACACAAAUAAUCUAAAAGAUUUACAUUGUCUCCUUUUAAAAAGGCAACCUCAGCGUGAAGAGAUCCAGAAGGCAGCAGCCACACUGCAGGAAAAAUGCCCCAAUGUGACCAUCAAUGAGGAUUCAUUGUUUGACAAGGUUACUGGCCUGCAAGAGUUCCUAAAUGGGGGAUCGCUUGAAGAAUGGAAAACAUCUGAGACAACGCUUAGUCAGAUAUGGAGCAUGGUGGUUACACUCUUCAAAGAGAACGACAUCCCACACACUAACCUGGCUAAAUUAGCGUCUGUUGUCAUGUGCUUACCUGGAAGUAAUGCACCAGUCGAGAGAGUGUUCUCCUAAAUGAAUGAUAUAUGGACAGCAGCAAGAAAUAGGUUCACUGUUCCGACCUUCAAGGCCAUGCUUAUUGUGAAGACAAACUUCAUCCUCCCCUGCCAGGAGUUCAUGGAGAAGCUGGCCAAAGACACAGCAAUCCUGAAGAAAAUACAUUCUUCUGAAAAAUAUACAGAUUAGGUUGGUAUAAGUAUAUUAUGUAGUUACCAAUCUCAUCAGCAUCUUAUUUCUUUAUUAUGUUAAGUAUUUCACAUAUACUAUUGUCUGUUUUUUAAAAUUUUGCUCAUGUUCUCUUCUGCUCUUAUUCUACCCAGACUACCAGGACCACUGACUGGCUGUUCAGAUCGGACAGUUCUGUCUUGUCUGUAGGGUUUCUGUAAUAUAGUUGUUUUCUCUUUCUAUCACAGUGUGCCUGUUAGAUUAAAUACAUGAAACCGGAA
Long non-coding RNA from Salvelinus namaycush (lake trout), 1916 nucleotides. RefSeq lists it as uncharacterized. The record is from RefSeq and is a predicted model, not a curated record. The transcript has 2 exons. Lineage: Eukaryota; Metazoa; Chordata; Actinopteri; Salmoniformes; Salmonidae.